CGUAGUCUCUGCGCAUGCGCUGAACCGAUCGUGUUUCCUCCUCCUCCAUCUUUUACUAUCUGUGAACACGGAGACACCACUUCUUGAGCACCGAAGCUGAUUAAAGUUCACCUUCCGUCAGGACUGAAGUUUACAUACCAGUGCUGUGUGCCAGAAGGUUCCUCAGCUUCUGAAGUUGGAUGGAAAUGACCUCCCCCCACCCAUUGGCUUUGAUGUGGACACACCCACCACUCUCCCACCUUGUAAGGUUAGUCAGUGUGAUGCUGAAUUGUCUGUUGUGUUCAAAACGUCACUUGUCAAAGUACAAGAAUAUAGAAGCCACUAUAUUUUUAGAUUCAAGCCUUUUCUUUUCUGUAAUGAACGUCUCAUUUCUCCUGCUAAAUGUUGACCAUGUGAUCACACAGAGAAGCUGCUUUGGCUCUGAUGACGCUAAACGUCUACAUUCAGCGCUUUUUGCAACACGAUGCGUUUCCAUCUGCUGAAGCACACACGACUGAAUGUGGUGAACGUUCCUCAACGAGCUGCCAUAAACCCAGCAUGACAUCAUCUCUUUCACCGUGGACAAUACGCUGCUGUCAUUCACAGUGGGCGGAGUCUUCAAAGAAGUUGUUGUAGAUGAUAAAUCUAAAGAAUCUACAAGGUUUUCAUCACAGUUCCAGCAGUGGAUUCUGGGUAGGUUACACACGUAAAACCAAAGUGCUCAUUAUCAGCUGUAGCUUCAGAUAAUGCUUGCCUCCACUAGUAUGACUGGAAUGAACAAACAGUAAAUACUGUUUCACCACAUGUGUUUUCUGUGUAUUCCUAUAUUUACCUAAUGUAUAUUUAUUUGUCCAUAAAAUAAAAUGAUAAACGCUUUUACA
RNAcentral lists this long non-coding RNA (860 nucleotides) under Gouania willdenowi (blunt-snouted clingfish). RNAcentral describes it as "lncRNA (ENSGWIG00000002745.1)". The record is from RNAcentral. Lineage: Eukaryota; Metazoa; Chordata; Actinopteri; Blenniiformes; Gobiesocidae.